CUUGGUAAGGUGUUUCCCUUCCAAACCGAGACCUGUUUCAGCACGGGCUUGGUAAGGUGUUUCCCUUCCAAACCGAGACCUGUUUCAGCACUGGCUUGGUAAGGUGUUUCCCUUCCAAACCGAGACCUGUUUCAGCACGGGCUUGGUAAGGUGUUUCCCUCCAAACCGAGACCUGUUUCAGCACGGGCUUGGUAAGGUGUUUCCCUCCAAACCGAGACCUGUUUCAGCACGGGCUUGGUAAGGUGUUUCCCUCCAAACCGAGGCCUUUUUCAGCAAGGGGCUGGUAAGGUAUGCUUCCCCGAGGCCUGUUUCAGAAGGGGGGUUGGUAAGGUAUGCUUCCCCGAGGCCUGUUUCAGAAGGGGGGGGGGUUGGUAAGGUAUGCUUCCCCGAGGCCUGUUUCAGAAGGGGGGUUGGUAAGGUAUGCUUUCCCCGAGGCCUGUUUCAGAAGGGGAGUUGGUGAGGUAUGCUUCCCCGAGGCCUGUUUCAGAAGGGGAGUUGGUGAGGUAUGCUUCCCCGAGGCCUGUUUCAGAAGGGGGGUUGGUAAGGUAUGCUUCCCCGAGGCCUGUUUCAGAAGGGGAGUUGGUAAGGUAUGCUUCCCCGAGGCCUGUUUCAGAAGGGGGGUUGGUGAGGUAUGCUUCCCCGAGGCCUGUUUCAGAAGGGGAGUUGGUGAGGUAUGCUUCCCCGAGGCCUGUUUCAGAAGGGGGGUUGGUAAGGUAUGCUUCCCCGAGGCCUGUUUCAGAAGGGGGGUUGGUAAGGUAUGCUUCCCCAAG
Long non-coding RNA from Oncorhynchus keta (chum salmon), 770 nucleotides. RefSeq lists it as uncharacterized. The transcript is spliced from 5 exons. The record is from RefSeq and is a predicted model, not a curated record. NCBI's taxonomy places the organism in Eukaryota, Metazoa, Chordata, Actinopteri, Salmoniformes, Salmonidae.